Molecule: long non-coding RNA, 927 nt
Organism: Saccostrea cuccullata (small rock oyster)
Lineage: Eukaryota; Metazoa; Mollusca; Bivalvia; Ostreida; Ostreidae
Exons: 4
Source: RefSeq, a predicted model, not a curated record
UGUACAUGUAAUACUCUUAUCAUUGUGACUUGUCAUGCAUUUCGUAAACCUAACGAUAGUGAUCUAUGCAUGCAGUAACUUGAGUUCAGUGUCACAGUGCUGCGUCUAAAAAGCCCAAAGCUGAUAAGACUGUGCGAUUGAUCCUAAAGCUGAUUUGACAGAUGAUUGCAUCAUCGCAAUAUUUAAGGUUCAAUAUACAGUCAGCGUCUCAUAAGAAUAAAUCCCAAGAUCCAAGACUUGCUUAAAAGCUUAAUUAAGAGACCAUUCUGUGCCACAAAGAAAUUGUUCAGGAAAGGGAGAAAUGGUGGAUUUGCAUUUUGGGUACAGUUCAAACAGAGUUCAAAAAGGUCAAACUCAUGGAAGAUCAGAGGGAGGACAACUGAAGAAAACUGAAAGAUACAGAAGGAAAAAGAACAAGAAAAUAUAUGAAAUAAUUAUGAAAUUGGGAGGAUGUACACAAUCUUGUCUGCAUUUGACCUGUAAAGAUUUAAUUCCCAUUCUUAUUUGUAUGCUGUAAGAUCAAAUAACUUGAUUUUUCAUAAAUUUACAAUAGAGAAUACAUGACAAAUGUUAUAUGUGAUAUUUCAAUUUAGCUUUGGUGUCAUUUCAUGUCAAAUCAUAUUUAUAAACAAGUACAUGGACUAAUUAUGUUAUUCAUUUGUACAUGUAUGCAUGUUUAACUAUUUAACCAUUUUGUGGAAAUCUUAUAAUUUGUACUCAACUUAGAAUAUGUAAAAUACAUGUAUCGACAAAUGCUACGGACUUGUUUGUAUACUUUCCUGUUUUGAAAGUACACUGAAAAAUAAGUUAUUUCUCUUGAUGAAAAUAAUUUAUCAAAAAAGUUGUGUAAGCAUUUUAAGAUAUUUAUUUUCAAAUAUUUAACCCAUGAAGAUAGAUCAUUGGAAUGUAAUGGAUUUUCAUCUAAAG